CAUGUUGUGAAAGUUGCUAAGCUUUAAAUGACUCGCCAUAUUUGUGGACUUACUUCAUGUGGAAACCUCAAAUAAUGAAUUUUCAGAUAAUACUACAUUAUUAUUGCUCCAAUGUAGUCUCAUCCCAACUAGAGUCCAUGAUACUUUCGACAUAUUCACCUUAAAGGGAUAUUCUGGCGUAAAUCUAAGCAAUGAUCAAACACACCGAAACACCGAGUUAGACACUCCCCGAGAGAUGAAUGUUGCUGACCACUUGCUUCUCUAGUUAUAGCAACUUUAGUAACGACCGCAGGAUCGCAAUGCACAGUGGUCUAUGGAUCCACGUGCAAACCUUAACCAAAAAGCCACUCUAUAGCCACAAAUAAUGCUUAGAGCAGCAGCUAACUUCAUCAACAGUACAUAUAGGGUCCCAGCCAUAGUACUAGCCAUCAAACAUCUUUUUAGCUUUGCCUUAUUUCUUUGGCAAAGAGACUAAACACAACUCACCCACUCUCUUCCAGCAGCCGGUGGUUUGUGUGGGAGCCCUGGCGAGUCAAUUACUGAGUGCAGCGGAGUUUCGCAGCUCAAGGAAGAACAUUUAUAAUUAUUACCUAAUGUAAAUGCAAUCAGAGUUCUUGUAUAUCUUGUAUGUCAGUUUAUAAAUGUUAUUAUCGAGGGCCGGCCAGGAAAUGAGCGCAGAUGAGCAUAACAUUUUUAACUUCACAAAUAUUUGUGGGGGAACUCCUGAAACAAAAGCAAGAUUUUGCGUUAAGUCGAACGCGAUUGUUUAUCUCAUGAAGAGUAGGGAAACAGCACGAAGGUGAAGAAGAGAAGUUAUUCAAAACAUACAAGAUACACAAGAACUCUGCAAAUUUGCAUUGCAUUUCCAUCAAGUAAUAAUCAUAAAUUUUCUUCCUUGAGCUGCGAAACGCCGCUGCACUCGGUGAUCGACUUGUCUGGGCUCCCCCACAAACUAGCAGCUGCUGAAGGAGAGUGGAUGAGUUGUGUUUAGUCUCUUAGCUAAAGAAACAAGACAAGGCUAAAAAGAUGUUUGAUGGCUAGUACUAUGGCUGGGACCCUAUAUGUACUGUUGAUGAAGUUAGGUGCUGUUCUGAGCAUUAUUUGUGGCUAUAAAGUGGCUUUUUGGUUGAGGUUUGCGUGUGGAUCCAUAGAUCGCUGUGUAUUGCUAUCGCUCGGUCAUUACUUAAGUUUGUAUAACUAGAGGAGUAAGCAGUUGGCGACAUUUACCUUUGUAGGGGGUGUCUAACUCUGUGUUACGGUGUUGUUGUUGUUACUUAACUUUACACCGGAAUAUCCCUUUAAAGUAGUUAUUUGUGCAGUUUUAACACUAAAAUUACAAGAUUUGGCUCCUGUUCUGUUGCUUUAUCCACUCAGAUGCCAUUAAAAGUGCCUCAUAUGCAAAAAAGAUUUAAUUUAGGAGGCUUUUGUAUUGAAUCUUUAUUUUGCCAGCCAAUGAUACAAAAAGAAAACAGCUCCCAGAGUUGUACGAAAGCAUCUGCACACCUAUAAAAUGCACCCUCCCCUGCUGUGCAUCCAGAAUGUACGGCCAAGAAAGUGCUCCCUGGAGUGUUCAUACAUUACUCUGGUGGGCUGUGCUGAUUCGGGCACACCAUAUCUCUGUUUCCAUCCAUCAGAACCGGAUAACUAUAGAUCCCUCUGCUCCUGGCUGCGGUCACUUGUAGCUAUCCCUUAGGCUGUGUAGAGUCGCCGAGGGGGGGAACAGCGGAGGCGUCGACAGUUGUUGGCUUCUCCAGAGUGCCGGGAUGCCAGAUGGCUUCCUGAUUGAUUUUCUGGUCCUCUCCCAAUUCUUUAUCAGCACCUCUCCUCUUUCGGUGUCAGAGGGGUGCAGAGGAGGACUUAUCUUCUGGACUCACUCCAGCCAAAUCCUCCUCACAUGAGCCGUCGUUACUCAUGGGCUUGAGGUGUGAUUUAUGGAUCGAAGUCUACAGGAGUACAGUUUUUGACAGCACGGGUAGAUAAUGGAGGAGACUGAAUGAAGCAAUUUGUGACCUCUUCCUUGCCAUUAACCUUCACAGGCUGCUGGCUCAUCGGCCCCAAAGGAGCUCUGUUAGGAAUUGAUGCCCGCAGACGAUCGUACCUCUAUAGAUUUUUCCUAUUGAUUUCUGAAUGUAAACUCACAAUAAGAUGAAUUGGUGGUGAAAAAGACGGUUUCACCAUCACCACAGUCCAGACUUUGUUGAACCAGGAUCCUUCUUUUUGCCAAAUAUAACAAAUGUACAGUCAAGUGUACUGUAGUGAUGCUGCAGCUACGCAAUCACAUCGGAGGACAUGAAACGAGCUUUAAGAAACGGCACCAGACGCGGGUUUAUUAUGUACCGUCGCUGUACGGUUAAAGAACUGGAGGCUAAAAUAAGAGCAGAAGACAGUCCAGUAUGACCAUCAUUGAUGGUGUUAGCAAUCCCAACUGUCCUAAAAGGAUUUAGCAAUGAUUACGAGAGGUGUAUUGUUGUACGGACAAUACUAAAGGGAACUUUUCUCUAAAUUGAAAGAAUGAAUUUGCAAAUGGAAAUGCCAAAAGAGGCAAACUGUGAACUAAGGCUGCAGUAUCAUACCUGCAUUGAUAAUAAAAUGUGCUACAAAACAAGUAAAAGGUAAGGCACCCAGAGUUCAUAGCGAUAGUCCUCUACCCUGGUUGCCAUAGGAGAGACGAAGAGGAAGGAGCAGCUGAUAGCAAGCUAGCUGUGGCAGCCCUCUGAGAGUUAAAAGGCACUUUUUAAACAAACAGAUAUUCAGGAUAGUAGUGAAUCCAUAAACAGCAUCAGCCUCUUUAAAUAACAGUUGAACAUUUACACUCUCUGACUGUUCAAUCUUGUAUUAUCUUGUAUACAAAAAAAUCAAAAAUAUUUCUAUUGGGUACUUCCACAGCUCUGGAGUAAACAACAAACCUUUUUUUGUUUUUUUUGUUUGUUUUUUUUUUACAUGCAUAAACUCUUUAAUCUGUGGUUAAGGGUGGUUAAUUUAUUGUCUCCAUUACCGUUUGUUAUUCCACUCAUGUAAAAUAUGUUUGCACCUUUUUUACGCUGUAUGCUGACACGAUAUGGUUCAUGAAGCUGCAGUGAAAUUGAAAGCUGUGAUCAUAUCUGUCUGCUCGGUUAUUUAGGGGUUUUAUGUCAACCACCAAGUGUCGUAAACUUGUGAUACUCCAGGAGUCUGCAUUGAAGCCCUUAAACCAGGAGAGCGGCUCAUUACACUGUCUCCAAACCCCGAAACGGAGGAGAUUUUUCAGUUAUUGAAAUGGGAAACACGUACAACAAUGAUGGAAUUGAACAUGAUGUUUGGUGUAUAGAUACUACAGCAGAAGCAAGUGGCCUUAUCAUGUAUAAAAAUGAAGAAUAUUUUUGUAUUUGAUCCUGAAAAGGAUCAUGUGGAUGUCUGGUGUUAAUGUAUCUGAUCAACUGUCAAAAAAGUAAAAAUAUAAAGUUGGAUUUUCUCUUUUUCUUUUUGCCUUCUGAUUUUAAUGUUUGUCUUGCCUCCUAAAUGUAAAAACUGGCAGGUUUAUUCAUGAAAAAUAUCUCACAAAUCAAAUGUUUUGCAUCUCCAUUUCAUGGUGACUCUAAAUGCAGAAAAAAAACUAGGUUAUCAUCCGUGUUAAACUGUGAUGGAGAUAUGAAUCUAGAUACUUGGAGGGUAAUGAAAGAAGAAAAUGAGGAAUAGAAAGCGGAGAGAGAGUUUGCCAAGCGUAUCUGAUUGGUUUGAUCACCAGCUGCUGUGUUAGAUGUUGAAAUGUCGUGGCCGCGCCAAGUCACUCUGUUCCCCCUGGUGUUGAUGCUCUGCCCUGCAGUCUCUCCCAAUUACUCACUGAUGAUGCUCUGCUGUUUGUUUCGUAGGAUCCUCAAAGUGAACAGGCCAAGCAAAGGUGACAGAGGCAUGCUGGAUACAAGCUCUUUACUGUGGAGUAGCAAAACAAACCUAUAUUCAAUGUGAGUGCAUCUUCAAAUUUCAAACGAUUUGUACUCUGCAUGAGACAAGCUGUGUCCCUCUCGCACAGGAUGACAUGCUCUGAAGGAAAACUUGUCAGAAAAUCUUCCUAUUCUGACAAACUCGGCUGCUUCUUAAAAAAAUGAGAGGCGCUGCAGACGGCUGUGACGCUGCUGUCUCCAGAACUGCUCAUCCCUAAUCUUUUUCACGCUCCCCUGUGAGAAAGGCAGAGCAAAGCAGCGCUAUAAAAUAUCCUAAACUUGGUAAAUGCAUCCACAGAAACGUUGCUACAAUCUCUGUGCACAGCAUGCUCGUCGUUUUUGAUCUGCUGUGGCAUACAUACAGCACCUCUGCCUCCUUCAGCCCAUAUGUGUCUUUAAUGAUAAUGCAAAACAAGACUCCCCGUGGUGCAGGUCUUUGGAGAUGCUCAAGCUUCAGUUGUCAGGGAAUGAGAGGAGGAGCUGCACACACUCACACACACACACGCACGCACACACACACUGACAGAAGGCCAUUUCUACACUGCAUGUCUGUUCGCUUUAUGUAAUCCCCAAUACCCACAACAGCUCAGGAGCAGUGACUGUUGGCUGCAUACAUUAGGUGACACACUUUUCGCUUUCAGGAGGGACUCCAGACGGUGCAGUAAACAUGUGAGGCCCAGAUACAGAGAGAGCAUCGCUUUUCAUAUGCAGCGUCACAGCUGGGCAUCACGCAGAGAAGACGGCACUGAAGUCACUCAGUCAUUUGGUAAAUUUGUCAAAAGAGCCAUAAAUGAAUAUCCCACAGUUUAUCAGAUGCGUCUGAUUAAUGUCCCACUGUUUACUUGCUGAACCAUAAGUCUCAUUUCCAACUUGUAAGAAAUUUACUCAAGUUGUAUUUUUCAGGCAGGAAGAAAAGACAUGUAGAGCUGAGCUUGUCGGCUUGGGGUGUCCCAGUACAACUUUGAUACUUCCGAUACAAUGCCGAUAUUGUAGCCUUCAGUAUCGUACGAUAUCGAUAUUGAUCCGAUAUUGGCGCAAACUUGUGCAUGACAAGUUUUGCACUCAGCUGUAACGUUUUUUUCAGAAUUAGAUGAAAAAUACUGCCAUACGGCCAACAUCACUCCUACUCCUUGCUACUUUGUUAGUACCUUAGUACACGCAGUUGUUGUGAUUGCGUGGUCUUUGCAUGCUGGAUCUGGGCACUGCUAGAUAGAGGUGCUGGUGUAGAGUCUGGAAUGGACUGCUUGUAGUGCUGGAAUCUGAGAUUUUAGAUGUUGGCCAAUAUUAUCCAAUAUUUGUUUUUUGCUGAUAUUGGAUCGAUGUCAAUAUCAGAUUAGGACAUCCCUACUGUCAACUACAGACGUAAAGAAGAGCAACUGUGAAGAGGCAAACUAAUUUUUGUAGGAGAUUUAUUUUACUCAUCACUGGAUGCCUCCUCUGUGGGGACCUUAAGGACUUCGAGUUCAUUGAUGGUUUGCAAUUUUUGCAAAACAUGAAAAAUACUAUUUUUCAUUGAUGGAAAAAUUCUUGCUUGUCUGAAUCAUUCCAGGAGUGGAUAUUCCCCUUUGCCUGUCAAGGUUACUGCUGGUAAUACUCUUUUCAAUCAGACCCACCGCUGCUGUCACAGUGAAGUACACUGUAUCUUUGUUGGUGUCAUCAAUGGACCGGUCCAUGAUAGUGAGUUACUCUCUACUCACUUGAAAAUGUUGCAGAGAUGAUUCUGACUCUGUUGUACACUAAGGCGGUGAUUUAAUAUCUGCUGACAUGCUUGUUUUCUCCCUGAUAUGAUUUCGUCACGUCUGAGACACUCACUGAAUCCAUCUCAAGCUUAAACUGUACAAAAGCAUGGAUGAUACAACAGCUCUCCCAAAGUGAAGCUGAAACUUCCCCAGCUCCCCAUGGUGACUGGGUGUAAUUUGCACAGUUUACUGGUGUUGAAAAAUAAAUAGAAUCUUUAAGUGUUUAAAACUGCAGUUCCUUAUCUGUCCACUGGAAGCUGGCUGCAAAGGCCCUGGUGACUGCAUUAAUACUGUGUUAAAACAUCUGUUUUCACAGUAGAAGUGGGAAUGUUUAUGGCAUGGUGCAAGCAAUUUUGAGGUCUGAAUAACCCAUGUAUGGUCGAAAAACAGACUCAGUUUGCAACAUAACAUAACUUUAUAAUCUUUAUCAUAACUUUAACAUAACUAGAUUGUGUAUAUGCUUCAAGUGGCCUGAGUGUUCUGCUUAGCAAGUUAGCUUCGGCAGCCCUCUGGGAGACUGUUUAGCACCUUUAAAAACUAACAUUCAAAGGGUUAAGCAUAAUUUUAUUGCCAGAGAAUUAACUUUCUAGCUGUCCUUUUAACUGUUUUCUUUGGUUCAAAAUCUUACAAAUAGUGUCUUUCAAAAUAAAAGCAGAUUUUUGCCAAGCAAGAAAUAAUGCAACCCAAACAAGAGAUAGGAAAAUGUCAAAAUAAAAGCAUGAGAAACAAUUGUUUUAUGAUGCAAUGUCCCUCCGGAGAAGUGUCAGUCACAGAGCUGAUGAUGUUGAUUAUGAAUUUGAAAAUCAUUAAAAAUGGCCAAUAACAGGUCAGUUAAUUGUGUUUACUACUUAGGUUCAUGAAGAAAUUGAGUUUUGCCUUCCUUCAGUUUUACUGAUUGUGUUUCAUUUUCAAGUUCUCUGUAAAUAUCGUGAUCUUUUGUAGCAGUUCUGCUGUUGUAUGGUGCUCCAACACCAGCAGAGCACAGGCCUUGUGGAGUGUGUGUUACGACUCUGCUGGUGUAUUUAAUGAUAAGAAGCAUUUUUAUGCAGAGAGAAAAAAUAUCACACUUGCUGCAGUCUGCCACUCUUCACUCACCCACAGCAAAUGGACAUGUUGGAGGGUGGAAAUCUGAAAAUAUUUCACUUCCAAUUUAGAUUAUAUAAUUUGGUAUAGGAAAGGAAACAAUACAACAGUUUCUCCAUUUUUGCACCUUCUUGCUGAGAUUCUGUCAGUUCUCCUCUGCAGUUCUUCCAUACUCCAUACUGUAUUUGCGUUCCUUCUCAGAUGCAGUGUUGAAAACCUGUCGAAGACUAACUCGGAUUUGGCAGAAUUUCUGUACUUUAGUUUGCUGAAGAGAACACGAGAGUCACAUUGAUUCACACCACAGCAGACUGCGAUUUUUCACAGCCUCCCCCAGCAUAGCCUACAUUGACAGAAUUCCUCUUUAAUGUGUUCCUACGAGAUAAAAUGCUUCCACAGGCGAUUAACCAUUCCACCCCUCUCCCAUUCAUUUCACUUCAUCAGAUUACUUGAUUGCUUGCUAAAUGGACUGCCUCUCUCCCCCCAGGGAAAUACACUGUAUGUAUUUCCUCGGACAAAAUGAGAUAUGCUGGAUUUAUUUCUCCUCACAUACUGUGUUUUUUAGACAUUCGAUCAGCCUUGGUUUGGUUUAGUUCAGUCAAGUGUACCUCAGGUCCAGAGAUAUUAUUAAUCCUUUCCAAAACAUAUUUUAUAUUCUGGUCUACAUAGUGGCCCUGAGCUGUUUUAGACUUUCAGGCUGUGAAUAGUGAAAUUGGAAAAGUAUCAGUGUGGCUUACAAAUGAUGUCGAGUGAAUUAAAAGAGGUUUCUCUUCGAGUGUUGCACAUAUUACCUCCUGCAACCAGGUUGUAACCACUGAGACUGUUAGCUCCCUGAAGACCACCUGCUGUUAAUUUGGUACAUGUAUUAAAGGAACAGCUUGACAUUUUGAGAGGUAUCUCUUUUUUAUGUCAUACUAUGAAUUUACUAAAUUAACUGUUCCACUGAAUUUAUGCUGAAUGCAACCAAGCCACAGUUUGGCAUGGCAUAAAAUGAAUGGAAACUGCGAGCAUAGAGCUAGUCAAAUUAUUAUUUUGCACCCAAUUUCAAAUUACAAACACACUUAUUGUACAUAUUUGUUUGUUCUGAUCAUAGACUGUAUAUAGAAUGGACGCUGUCUGCCUCCUUGCUGGGUGAAGCCACUGCGAGAACAGCACCCUCUAGUGACGGGCUGCAGUAUAGGUCAUAAAUCCCUCCUCCCUCAGCAAUCCCUAUGGAGCUGUGGACAAACUUUAGAAAUUUAUUACACAGAAUAUAUUUUUUUCUCCCCCCUGCUUGCGGUGUUGACAUGUAGUUACUGUAAGACUGGUUUGUGCUCAAGUCCUCUUUUUUUCUGUGCAGCUCCAUUUUUCAAAGUUAUUAGGGGGUUCAUGUUUUAUAUGAAUAACCCCUAUGGGCGAACGAAGAUUGCGUAGCUCACCCGGGGGAUAUGCUGUUUGAGUCGAGUGUCAUCACAGCCACUCUCGGCGACUCUCCCACCGAAUGCGUACAGCGCUACUGUACAAGUGGUUGUUCCAGGAAGUGGAGAAAGUCUCAGUAAUCCUGAAAGCAAUUCGGCUUCAAAUUUGUAUCAUGACUGUAGGCAGAACCAAGUUGUCCAUAGUAUAUACAGUCUAUGGUUCUGAGCUACUGUAGAAACAUGGCGGUGCAAGAUGGUGGCCUCUGUAAAACACUUAUUUGUGAGUAACAGAACAAGAAGAUUUUUGUAUUUAGAUAAUUUUUUAGAUUUUUUACCCCAUUUCUACCAAGUCUGCUCUGCUUAAAGCUUCACGCUGCACUGCAACAAAUAAACAACCCUUAAAUAAUUAAGCUUUGUUUUUACAAAUGUUGCUUACAGGACUACUUUCUGUCUGGGAACAGUAACUUCUCCAGAUGCCUUGUUGAUCCCGUUACGACUUAGCCUAACUUAAACAGCACCAGGCAAGCAGCUGCGAUACAAGAUGCCAUCUGUCAUUGGUGUUUGCUUAGGUCCAGGUCGUAAAGCAUUGUUGCAUUUUGGUUGUAGUCAUUUAAUAGAGAUACAGCUUUGGGUAUAGUUAGGAUGUAUUAUCCAUCCCUGAUCCAGAUUUUUGUUAAACAAGUUGAAAGAGUAAUGUUUGGCCAUGAUGUUUAACGUCUUCAGAUACGCUGGAGAGAUAAUGUGUUGAGUUCAUGUGAGUAUUUGCUGCAUGUGUUGUUUCCAGACA
This is a non-coding RNA of Xyrichtys novacula (pearly razorfish), 8923 nucleotides long. Lineage: Eukaryota; Metazoa; Chordata; Actinopteri; Labriformes; Labridae. The record is from the annotation of a GenBank genome assembly.